UUUAAAUGAGGUAUAACUUGGGGUUGGGGGUACACAAGAGAAACCAGACUCCUGAAAGGGGUACAGUAGUUUGGAAAGGUUGAGAGCCACUGCUCUGAGCAGUGUCCA
This is a non-coding RNA of Chelonoidis abingdonii (Abingdon island giant tortoise), 108 nucleotides long. The record is from RefSeq and is a predicted model, not a curated record. NCBI's taxonomy places the organism in Eukaryota, Metazoa, Chordata, Testudines, Testudinidae.